AGAGUUUGAUCCUGGCUCAGGACGAACGCUGGCGGCGUGCUUAACACAUGCAAGUCGAACGGAGAAAGCAGCAAUGUUUUCUUAGUGGCGAACGGGUGAGUAACGCGUAGACAACCUACCUCAAAGAUGGGGACAACACCGCGAAAGUGGUGCUAAUACCGAAUGUUGUAUCUGAAAUGCAUGUUUUAGAUACAAAAGGU
This 200-nucleotide ribosomal RNA is filed under the name uncultured bacterium. Its description in RNAcentral is "partial 16S ribosomal RNA". It matches the Rfam family "Bacterial small subunit ribosomal RNA", at positions 8 to 208 of the family's 1533-position model. The record is from RNAcentral.